Long non-coding RNA from Musa acuminata AAA Group (dessert banana), 1419 nucleotides. RefSeq lists it as uncharacterized. Lineage: Eukaryota; Viridiplantae; Streptophyta; Magnoliopsida; Zingiberales; Musaceae. The record is from RefSeq and is a predicted model, not a curated record. The transcript has 2 exons.
UUCUUCGUUGGCUUCGCCGUCUCCUCCAAAGUCCGACCUUCAAUCUACUGCCUGACAUGGAUUCUCUCGUUCAUGCGCUCACUUGUAGCGCUGAUGAGUGGGCCAGUGAUAAGAAACAAGAUCAAUUGUCUGUACCAUCUGAGAUCCGAUUUUGUGGAAAUCUUGGGGUAGGAACUAAGUAGGUAGUAGCUUCAGUUUAUGUGCGAUCAACUUGUCUGGGUGUCUGGCCUCACCAACAAUGUCGAUUGAAGGUUGCAGUGUGGCUCAUAUGGAAUUGGUUUGUUUUUUGAUUCACCUGGGGAAACAUUACUACAAUGGUCGAGCUUUCAUAAGAUCAGCUAAAAUCUUUUGAAGAAGGAUUUUAGGCAUAAAGGAACCCAAGAAAGAUCUUAACUUUUAAUGUUCAACAAAGUCAUUAAGCAAUUCUAUUGUCUAUUUUGAGUGCAGCAUUUCAAGGUAUCUUAAAUCACAGAAUAUGGACAUGCUAACUUUUGCAACCUUGCAAGUCAAUAAUUCCUAUUGCAUGAGGACCCAUGAAAGGCUCUGUGAUUUGUAUGAGUUCAUUAUUUGAAUUACAAGGCAUUUGCUUUCCACAUGAUCAGGCAGUCAUUAAAAAAGAUACUUCAAUUGGAUCAAGAUAAUAACCUCUGUAUUGGUGCCAUACCUGUUUUUUAGUUAUAGAUCUCCAUGUUCUCUUUUCACAAUGCCUGAUCAAAUCCUGAAAAGUAUGGAUUACCACCUACAUUUGAAGCAGUGUAAUAUCUGCAUGACUGAAUGCAAUUGUAGUUACCUAGUUUUAUUCUUUAAAAGAAAAAGAAGUGAGAAAAAACCUGUGGGAAUACAAAGUCCAGCCAAUGACAUAAUGUGAAUACAAGUAGCCAUUGUCAAGGGCAUGCUUUACAUGUAACCUUCAUGUCAACUAUUGAACUGUUCUUGAUGAAGUUUCAGGAGCUUUCUACUUGGUUGCUGUCAUUAAAUUAACUUGGACAUGCAAAAGCAUGAAGUUUUCUUUGAUCUGAUUGAAGAACAAUUCGAUGGCGAAGUAAGCGAGAUUCUCUUCUGGCGGUUGAUCCAAUCUUUGUGCUAAAUGCCAUAAGCAGCUGCCAUAGACAAAUACAAGUACUAAGAAGUGGCAACUGUUUUGCAGCAAGCAUAAGUAUUUUCACAGAAGACUACUUUUAACCUCAUGUUAGAACUGAAGCGCAGUAAUAUUAAAUUAAAUUUGCUGAUACCAUUUUAUGGCUUUUGUACCAAUUGCACUAUGAUAAAUGCUCAGUUCCUGUAUCUAAUUUUUUGGGUACACGUUCUUAGUGUAAUCUUUUGAGAGAGUAUAUUCAUUCAUUCUUAGUGUUUGAACAAACCGAGGCUUGACAUGUAAUAAAAGCAAAUAUGCAUUCCAAUAUGCUUGUGAACUUUUAA